Molecule: long non-coding RNA, 1822 nt
Organism: Cyprinus carpio carpio
Lineage: Eukaryota; Metazoa; Chordata; Actinopteri; Cypriniformes; Cyprinidae
Source: Ensembl
CUCUGAGCUCCAUGUCAUCUGGAUGAGAAAACAGAUCCACCACCGCCUCAGAAUACAGAAGAAGAAAGAUACACAGGCUUGAAACUUCAUGUGAAUCAAUGAGCCUUAUCUUUCCAGAAUCAAUUCAUUAUUUGAAGCUUAUUUGAAAAAGCCCACUGCAUCAUCAAUGAAGAAAGGGUGUGCUGACAAUUGCAUUAAUUACUUUAUCUAAAUCAUUUCCAAUUAACCUUACACACCACCUUACAAAUAGAGUCUUGCCAGGCCACCCUGAAUGACGCCGUCUCCUAAAGACAGACAGAUUUUUUUUUUUUUUUUUAAGGGGAGAGAAGAAGAGAGAAUUUAGAGUAGGGGAAUUUCGGGCAGGCACAGAUAAGACUGCCACUUAGUCUGAGGGCUCUUCCUUUCAAGACUACACAUUACAUUUUGGUUAAUUAAUUUCACAUUGAUAUAUGGUUUAAUUUAACACUGAUUGUCAUGUUCUGGGUAUAGGGUUUGCUCAUUUUACAAAUUAGAUUUCAGGUGUAUUUAGAAAAUAAUGCUGAUCGUCAAAGUAACAUGGGAGGAGAUGUCUUCUGUGCUGUCCUGUGAGGAGAAACAAAGCCUACAUUUUAUCACUUCUUUUUAAAUAUCCAAUAAUGUUCUUUAAAAAAUGUACAUUUGACAUUACAUAUACAAAAUGUAACUAUUACAGUUAAAAAUGUAUUGAUCAGUCAUUUGGCAAAGUGAAAAUGAAGUAUGGUGUGAAUUUCAUUUUAUGUGUCUAGUUUCAGUGAGUUCAUUGACGCUGUUGGUGAUCGCCGAGGAGGAAAAACACAGUCUAUGCUGGAACUUUAAAUGUUAAUUAUAAUGCUGGCAGAAGAACUGAGAAGUUCGGAGCUUAAUGAUAAAUAAAAUGCAGCUGCAGUGAAGACUGUGUCUAGACUGUUACUAAAACAGCAAGACUUUCACAGGAAGAGAAAGAGUAAAACAAUACAGUUGUAAAGGAAGGAGAGACUAAGCAAGCAUGAUAAGGAAAGAGAAGAUUACUACUUAAAAUAAAUUAAAUGUAUUUUUGAUGAUCAUUUUCAAAUUAACAAUUUAAUUUCAUGUAAUUAAAUUUUUAAUAACAAUUAAAUCCACAAAUUAGAUGAUUUUUAUUUUUUUAUUUUUUAAAAUGCUAUAAUCUGCCUUAAGACUUUCUUUUCCUCUCGUAAACAGAAGAACAAACUUUUGCCUCCAGUAUAAUAAAUACAUUUCCUGCAGUGCCAAAAGUAUGUACAAUAACAAGUAAGACUUGAUAUCUAACAUGCAAAUACACUUGUGUGCACAUUAACCAUCUCUUUAUUAAACAUGAGGCAAAGUUUCAUACCUGUUUUUGGAUGUAAUUAUAUAAAGAAAAAAAAAGUGUAUGUGUUGGGGGGUGAGUGGGUGGUUAUUUAUUUAUUUAUCUCAGAGCUCAUGGUCUCUCAUGGAAAAAGGGGGGAAAAACAGCCCCACUCUCCUCUCUUUUUGAUGUGUUUGCCUUCACGGCUUCUGAGCGCUCUCUAAUUCCAUCUGGCCACAACAGAGGCGGUGGAAUGGCACGAAAAAGCAUUUCCAUAUGUGCAAAUUAGGAGGCUGCCUUCCUAAAACUGCAGCGCCAUUCCUCUGAAGUAGAUAGCACUGCGGAGAGCUGCCAAGUCCUCUAAUGGCAAUCAAGAGGAGAGUUCUUAUUGGCCUGUGUCUACCUCGGGUUACAAUAGUGCAUUUUCAUCCUGCAAUUCCAGGUGUGUUUUAAAAUGUAGUAACAACAGGGUAAAAAGAAAAAAAAAUACUAGGAAAGAUUUUUAUUUGUAUACACAUU